Cucumis melo (muskmelon) is the source of this 2107-nucleotide long non-coding RNA. RefSeq lists it as uncharacterized. The record is from RefSeq and is a predicted model, not a curated record. The transcript has 3 exons. Lineage: Eukaryota; Viridiplantae; Streptophyta; Magnoliopsida; Cucurbitales; Cucurbitaceae.
CACGAUCGUUUAAACGAUGAUGGUUUAAACGAUCAGUGUCUUUAAACGAUCAUUUAAUUUAUUAUAUACGAUCGUGUAUUGGUGUUAAACGAUCCUUUAGUAUUUAUUAACUUUACACGAUCAUUUAGUAUUCUCUUAUUACAUCUAAAUACUUAAUUAUAUUUUUUUUCCAGAUUAGAAUGUCUAUUCCUAUUGUUGUUUUUUAUGGAGGUCAAUGGAAUGGCUACAAUGUUUAUGAGAAUUACUUAGUGUCUGUAAUUUUGGUAGAUAUGCGAGUCAGCUUUAAUUCUUUGGUUGCUUUGACAUGUGAACAACUUAAUUGGAUGAAUCAGUAGAAUUAUCUGUUUUACUUGAUUUUGGUAAAAGUAAUGUUCAAACUAUGGUGCCGAUAAAGAAGGACAAUGAUGUUACGUUGCUUGGUAUUUAGCUUUUGUUAAAGAUGCAACUAGUAGACAUCCAUUAGUUGUCCAUGUAAGUGUUGAUUGUUUGGAAAUGUCUUCUUCAUCUAGUAGUGUACAGGGGAAUGUUGAUAUGUCACUGAAUAUAGGUUUUUCUUCUGUUUCAAAUGAUGAAGUUAUAAGAGACAUCUCUUAUUAUUCUGAUUUGAAGGAAAAAAUUUUAUUUGAAAGUAAAGAAGUGCUUUCAAAGUAUUUUUGCAUAAUAGCAGAGAAGAACAACUUUCAAUUUAGGACUACAGUAUCGAAUUUAAGGUCUCUUGGAUUUAGAUGUCUGUAAAAAGGCUGCAAAUGGUAUGUAAGGGCAUCUCGUUAUAAGAAGAGUGAUUUGUGGAUGCUACGAAAAUACACUUCUGACCAUAAUUGUUCAUUGAGUACUGCCCAAAGUUCUCACAUGCAAGAUUUUUCAACAGUAAUUGACAAUUGUUUGAUAGAUGAUUUUAGAUUCAUGUCUACUGAUCGUUCCAUUCCUAAAGUGAUUGUGCAUAAGACUCGUACAAAUCUUGGAGUUAAUAUAAGUUACCAGAAAGUUUGGAGGGUAAAAGAACAUAUGGUAAAGAUAUUACACGGUGACACAGUUGAAUCGUAUGCAUUGAUUCCAAGAUUCUUUGAUAAAUUGGUUGAAUCUAACCCAGGUAUGAUCAAUUUUUUAUAUCAAAUUUAAAUUGAUUUGCAGAUAGAUGUGGAUAGACUAAUAUCACAGUUUAUCUAGAUAGACCAAUAUUGACAUCUUUGAUAUUCUUUCUGUUCUUUUUUUGUUUGUGCUGAUAGAAAUAUGUUUUUAAUUAUUAUAAGUACAUGCCUGCUUUAGAAAUGGAUGAUAGUGGUCAUUUCAAGUUUUGUUUUAUGGCUUUUGGUGCAUCAAUUGAGGGGUGGAAACAUUGUAGACCUAUUAUUUCUGUUGAUGGGACAUUUUUGAAGUGUAAGUUUGGUGGCAUCCUAUUAACAGCCUCAUCACAAUAUGGCAUAUUCACAUAGACGAAGGUAUAGAAUGAUGACAUCAAAUUGUGCAAAAGGUGUAAAUUCAGUGUUUAAAGAUCUUAGAGAACUACCUGUGGCAACGAUGUGUCGUUCAAUUAGGGAUGUAUUACAAAAGUGGUUUUAUGAACGAAGUAAAGCUGCUUCUACAAUGAAGAGUCAUUUAACUUCUUGGACUGAGAACAUUCUACGUUUAGAACAUGAAAAGUCGAGAAGAUUAUUGGUUGAUCCAAUAAGUGCAACUGAAUAUCAAGUAAUAGAUGGAAAUCAACAAUUUAUUGUGAAGUUAAACGUGGGAUGUUGUAGUUACCGAGUAUGGGAUGUUGAAGAAAUUUCUUGUGUACAAUGCUCUUGCUGUUCUACGAAUGUUUAAUUUAGAUACCUAUUCUUAUGUAAGUUUUAUUAUAAAGAAACACUAUCAGCAACAUACAAUGGUUGUAUUCAACCUGUUGGAUCUCAUUUUAAUUAGAGAGUUGUAGAUUCUGUCAUGAAAGUAUUGCCUCUAGUCUUUAGACGACAGGCUGGAAGACCAAGAAAACAAAGAAUUCCAUCUGUUGGGGAAUUUAGUAAUUCAACCGGAUGUUCUAAUUGUAAUCGUAAAGGACAUAAUAGUAGGACUUGUAAGCAAGACAGGGUUUGAACAAUUAAUGAAAAUGCGUACUAUCUUUCUUUCA